AGCGGGGUGGGCUAGCCUGGUUUAUGCCGCAGGGCUCAUAACCCUGAGAUCGUUCGUUCAAAAAUCUUGCUUUGCUGAUUUCCAGCAGAUUGGGAUUCGAACCCCCGCUA
This 110-nucleotide transfer RNA is filed under the name Promethearchaeota archaeon. Its description in RNAcentral is "Candidatus Lokiarchaeota archaeon (marine sediment metagenome) tRNA-Met". It matches the Rfam family "tRNA". Rfam says of the family: Transfer RNA (tRNA) molecules are approximately 80 nucleotides in length. Lineage: Archaea; Promethearchaeati; Promethearchaeota. The record is from RNAcentral.